RNAcentral lists this ribosomal RNA (1334 nucleotides) under Clostridioides difficile. Its description in RNAcentral is "bacterial LSU rRNA". It matches the Rfam family "Bacterial large subunit ribosomal RNA", at positions 771 to 2123 of the family's 2925-position model. Lineage: Bacteria; Bacillati; Bacillota; Clostridia; Peptostreptococcales; Peptostreptococcaceae. The record is from RNAcentral.
GGUCCGAACCCACGAGCGUUGAAAAGCUCGGGGAUGACUUGUGGGUAGCGGUGAAAUUCCAAUCGAGCCCGGAGAUAGCUGGUUCUCCCCGAAAUAGCUUUAGGGCUAGCCUCAAGGUGAGAGAUACGGAGGUAGAGCACUGAAUGUCCUAGGGGGUAUUGCACCUACCGAAGACUAUCAAACUCCGAAUGCCGUCAUCUUAUACUUGGGAGUCAGACUGUGGGUGAUAAGAUUCAUAGUCGAAAGGGCAACAGCCCAGAUCGUCAGCUAAGGUCCCUAAAUGUAAGUUAAGUGGUAAAGGAUGUGGGAUUGCACAGACAACCAGGAUGUUGGCUUAGAAGCAGCCACUCAUUCAAAGAGUGCGUAAUAGCUCACUGGUCGAGUGAUCCUGCGCCGAAGAUUUCCGGGGCUAAAACUUACUACCGAAGCUACGGCAUCAGUAAUGAUGGGUAGGGGAGCUUCCCAUACGGGUUGAAGCAUGACCGUAAGGACAUGUGGACAGUAUGGGAGUGAGAAUGUUGGCAUGAGUAGCGAGAUGUGGGUGAGAAUCCCACAGGCCGUAAACCCAAGGUUUCCAGGGGAAGGUUCGUCCGCCCUGGGUUAGUCGGGACCUAAGCUGAGGCCGAAAGGCGUAGGUGAUGGACAACAGGUUGAUAUUCCUGUACUACCGAUAACCGUUUGAGAGAAGGGAUGACACAGUAGGAUAAGCUAAGCACACUGUUGGUUAUGUGUGCCCAAGCAUUGAGGCAGUCAAAGUAGGCAAAUCCGCUUUGAUAAUGCUGGGAUGUGAUGGGGAGCGAAAUUUAGUAGCGAAGUAGCUGAUUUCACACUGUCAAGAAAAGUCUCUAUCGAGGUUAAAGGUACCCGUACCGCAAACCGACACAGGUGGGUGAGGAGAGUAUCCUAAGGCCAGCGAGAGAACUGUUGUUAAGGAACUCGGCAAAAUGACCCCGUAACUUAGGGAUAAGGGGUGCCACCAUCAGGUGGCCGCAGAGAAUAGGCCCAAGCGACUGUUUACCAAAAACAUAGGUUUCUGCUAAGUCGCAAGACGAUGUAUAGGAGCUGACGCCUGCCCGGUGCUGGAAGGUUAAGGGGAUCUGUUAGAGCAAUCGAAGCAGUGAACUUAAGCCCCAGUAAACGGCGGCCGUAACUAUAACGGUCCUAAGGUAGCGAAAUUCCUUGUCGGGUAAGUUCCGACCCGCACGAAAGGCGUAACGAUUUGGGCACUGUCUCAACAACAGACUCGGUGAAAUUGUAAUUCCGGUGAAGAUGCCGGAUACCUGCGACAGGACGGAAAGACCCCAUGGAGCUUUACUGUAGCUUGACAUUGGGUC